This 491-nucleotide ribosomal RNA is filed under the name uncultured bacterium. RNAcentral's name for it is "partial 16S ribosomal RNA". It matches the Rfam family "Bacterial small subunit ribosomal RNA", at positions 29 to 507 of the family's 1533-position model. The record is from RNAcentral.
GUGAACGCUGGCGGUAGGCCUAACACAUGCAAGUCGAACGGCAGCACAGUAAGAGCUUGCUCUUACGGGUGGCGAGUGGCGGACGGGUGAGGAAUACAUCGGAAUCUACUUUUUCGUGGGGGAUAACGUAGGGAAACUUACGCUAAUACCGCAUACGACCUACGGGUGAAAGCAGGGGAUCUUCGGACCUUGCGCGAUUGAAUGAGCCGAUGUCGGAUUAGCUAGUCGGCGGGGUAAAGGCCCACCAAGGCGACGAUCCGUAGCUGGUCUGAGAGGAUGAUCAGCCACACUGGAACUGAGGCACGGUCCAGACUCCUACGGGAGGCAGCAGUGGGGAAUAUUGGACAAUGGGCGCAAGCCUGAUCCAGCCAUACCGCGUGGGUGAAGAAGGCCUUCGGGUUGUAAAGCCCUUUUGUUGGGAAAGAAAAGCAGCAGGUUAAUACCCCGCUGUUCUGACGGUACCCAAAGAAUAAGCACCGGCUAACUUCGUG